UGUAAGGGCUGAAAUCUGUUUUCAGGCAGUCCAUGCUUCUCCAGGAGACGCUUUAUGUCUAUUAUCCCGUUCAACUGCCUCUGGCUGUUUGUCCCAAAGGGCACCGUGUUCUCUAUAUAGUGUGAUACGUUUCACCAGGGUUCAUAGAGCUCUGGUCAGAAGUAGUGUACUAUAUAGGGUAUAGUGUGCACUUUGGGACAUACCCUCUUACUUAUGUCCAACCCUAACCCCUUACACCCUAGGUUGAAACCCUAACCCCUACACCCUAGGUUGAACCCUAAUCCCUACACCCUAGGUUGAACCCUACACUCUAGGUUGAAACCCUAACCCCCUACACUCUAGGUUGAAACCCUAACCCCCUACACUCUAGGUUGAAACCCUAACCCCCUACACUCUAGGUUGAAUCCUAACCCCCUACACUCUAGGUUGAAUCCUAACCCCCUACACUCUAGGUUGAAUCCUAACCCCCUACACUCUAGGUUGAAUCCCCUCUACACUCUAGGUUGAAACCCUAACCCCCUACACUCUAGGUUGAAACCCCUAACCCCCUACACUCUAGGUUGAAUCCCUAACCCCCUACACUCUAGGUUGAAACCCUAACCCCCUACACUCUAGGUUGAAACCCUAACCCCCUACACCCUAGGUUGAAUCCUAACCCCCUACACUCUAGGUUGAAACCCUAACCCCCUACACUCUAGGUUGAAUCCUAACCCCCUACACUCUAGGUUGAAACCCUAACCCCCUACACUCUAGGUUGAAACCCUAACCCCCUACACCCUAGGUUGAAUCCCCUCUACACCCUAGGUUGAAUCCUAACCCCCUACACUCUAGGUUGAAACCCUAACCCCCUACACUCUAGGUUGAAUCCUAACCCCCUACACUCUAGGUUGAAUCCCCUCUACACUCUAGGUUGAAACCCUAACCCCCUACACUCUAGGUUGAAACCCUAACCCCCUACACUCUAGGUUGAAACCCUAACCCCCUACACUCUAGGUUGAAACCCUAACCCCCUACACUCUAGGUUGAAUCCCCUCUACACCCUAGUUUUGGAGUGGGGACUAGGGAUUGGUUUGGAAUUUGAAAACUGUCUGUCGAUCAUUAAUGUACUGCAACUCUCCCCAACUUCUCCCCUCAGACACCCAGGGCCUGUAUCUGUUUCAGAUCAAAGCUGCCCCAUAGCAGAGCACAGAUCUGGGAUCAGUUUACCCCUAACUUCUCCUCUCUGUCCCAGGGCCUGUAUCUGUUUCAGAUCAAAGCUGCCCCAUAGCAGAGCACAGAUCUGGGAUCAGCUUACCCCUAACUUCUCCUCUCUGUCCCAGGGCCUGUAUCUGUUUCAGAUCAAAGCUGCCCCAUAGCAGAGCACAGAUCUGGGAUCAGUUUACCCCUAACCCUGUGUUGUGUCUCAAGUGACACCCUAUUCCCUAUAUAGUGCACUACUUUUCACCAGGUUUCAUAGGCUAAAUAGGGAAUAAGGUGUCACUCUCUGGAGAGGAAACUGUCUUAGGAUCUGUUUUUUACUCCAAGGUUCCUGGACUGUGUGUAUUCUAUGUACUACAUUGUAUUUCUACAAUGAACUGAUCUACGGUGCGUGGAUCUAUGUAAACAGCCAAAGAAAAUCCAUAACCUGUCUGUGUUGCGAUGUCUGUCUGUCUCUGGGCACUGUCUGUACAUCUGUCAAAUCCGUCUGUCUGUACAGUUAGUCCUGUUGUGAAAUGUAUUGUUUUAUUGCGUAUCUGUCUGUAUGGCAGAAAUUCACUUGGUUAUCCCUAUUUCCCCC
Molecule: long non-coding RNA, 1777 nt
Filed under: Salmo salar (Atlantic salmon)
Lineage: Eukaryota; Metazoa; Chordata; Actinopteri; Salmoniformes; Salmonidae
Description: lncRNA (ENSSSAG00000089602.1, ENSSSAG00000094818.1)
Source: RNAcentral